GAAGCUCCUCUUUUCAUGGAUAAUCGCGCUUCGAGUUGAAACCAAAUCAUAGCAUGUGAGGAUAAUGAAAGAGACGAAAACGAUCCCCUGCCGGGGCUGAGAGACGAAAGAAGAGGAAGAAGAAGACGGAUGGGGAGUAAAGUUGAUUAGAAGUGAUAUUGAUGGAGAUGGAAGGGAGGCGAGUGAGAAGGUUUGGGAGGGGACGCACUCGAUCUCAGGCUCGCUCUCUCCUGCCCCUACGCACUGCCGCAAUCACUAGCACCGCCAACCUCUCCAAUACCAUUUCCUGUUGGUUCUGCGACUAUAAAAUCUCUGCUCUGAAUGAACCUCUUUUCCGUUUUGGACGAAGGCAUGCCAGAAGUUUGAGGGUAUGGUUUUCCAUUGGAAUUGGUUUUAGCCUAACCGCACUGCUUGGCGUUACUGUGAUUCUCCUUUGGGAAUUAGGCAGAGCCCUGCAUCUUUUCCGCCAAAAAACAGAGCUGGGCAAUCUUUCUACUGCGUUACUGUUUGGGUUUUCCCCCUCCUCGGUCUCUGGUUUGAGCAUGUCGCUUGCCGAUGCUGGGUAUUUACUUAUUUCUACCUUGAUUUCUGUAUCCGUGCAUGAACUCGGGCAUGCCCUUGCUGCUGCUUGUGAAGGCAUACGGAUGGAGUACAUUUCCUUUUUUCUUGCAGUUCUAUUUCCUGGUGCUCUGGUGGCUUUCAACUACGAGUUGCUGCAAGCAUUACCACAGUUUACUGCCCUUCGUGUAUACUGUGCUGGUAUUUGGCACAAUGCAGUGUGUUGUGCAGGUUGUGGAUUGGUGCUAUUCCUCCUGCCUCUGAUCUUGUUUCCCUUCUACAUACAUAGUGAAAGCCCCAUGGUUUUGGAUGUAUCUUCUACAUCGCCUUUGUCCAAAUAUUUGUCUCCUGGGGAUUUAAUUAUGUCAUUGGAUGGUGUUCAUAUCCAUAAUGCAGAAGAGUGGAUGGAAAUGACAGCUCUGAUAGAUAAUGUGACACGUCAAAUUACAGAUCAUACCGAAUACGUUGAAGGAUUUGGGACGGUCAAUGGCAGAAAGGGGUAUUGUGUACCCGAUUUUAUGAUAGAAGAUGGCCAGAAGAUUCAAUCAGUAGACAACCACUCUGCUUGUUCUAAUGAUCUUACUGCAUUUGUAACCAUUCCCUGUCUUGAUAUGAGAGUGUCGGAUGGUGGUAACAGCAAAAAUGGUCAUCCAAAGAGAAGACAGAGUACCCACUGCAUGAAUGCUGAGGACAUUGUCAAGCUUAAUAAAUGUGGUGAUGGAUGGGCGACAAUAACUAAUGGAAGCAGCUGCACAUGUUCACUGGAUGAGUCUUGCUUAAGCCCACUUCAGAUGUCGGGUUUGAGCUGGGUGGAGAUCUCAUACUUGGGAUAUUUUUCUCCAGAGUGCUUGCAACUUGGACGAAAUUCAUUUUUAGUAUCCAAGACUUCUGACCUUAUAAAAUCCAAGUGUGUUGGGACUUUUGUUUUUAUCGGUGAUGUGAUAUCCAUGGCACAUUCGGUUCGUUUAACUGCUUAUCAACCUCGUUGGGCAUUUCAUUUUGGUGCAUAUCUUCCAAAUGUGCUGGAAAGGAUUCUGAUGUGCACAUUCCACGUCUCUCUCACACUAGCUCUUCUCAAUAGCUUGCCAGUCUACUUUCUGGACGGAGAAUCUCUUCUAGAGGUGACCCUUUGUCAUUUCACUUUGCUGAGCUCAAGCAAGAGGGAAAAGGUUCUUCAAGUAUGUCUUUUGGGAGGGACGCUCAUUUCCAUCCUUGUCUUUGUGAGAAUCUUCUACAAUCUUUUCUAUGUGUAAGAUAUCACUUGACCAACAUUUGGCUUCCAUAUUGAUCUCAGCAUGUUGUUGAAGAUGAACUUUUAGAGUCUGUCUGAUUGGGCCACUCGCGGAAUAGUAUGGCGCUCUGGAGUUGCUUAAAUUAAGGAACCGAUUGAACAAAUUUUACUGUUGUGUCUUCUCGUGCAAUGCAUCGGGCAAGGUUUUUGAUUUUUCUUUUUCUUUUUCUCGGGCGGUGGGUCUUCUGACUUCUGAGGAUUAGACCGUUCCCUCUCUCUCUCUGUCUCUGUCUCUGUCUCUCUCUCACUGCCCCCGCGUUGGCGGCUAGAAAAUGCAGGCCUGUUUGGUUGUUGAUUUGAAAACAGGUGUUUUGUUUUCAAAACAGCCAAACAUGUUUUGCCACUGUAAUAUGCUACUUGUUUUAAAAACAAAAAUAUGGAAAACAAAAACAGGAAGAAACACAAAAAGAACCUGUUUCCGUGUUUUAUUUUAUUUUAUUUUUUAAUAUCAAAAGUGAUGAAAACAUGCUGCGAGUGUUUUAA
This is an RNA transcript of Alnus glutinosa, 2332 nucleotides long. It is a transcript of the gene named membrane-bound transcription factor site-2 protease homolog, with no coding region annotated. NCBI's taxonomy places the organism in Eukaryota, Viridiplantae, Streptophyta, Magnoliopsida, Fagales, Betulaceae. The record is from RefSeq and is a predicted model, not a curated record. The transcript is spliced from 12 exons.